CCUACGGGAGGCAGCAGUGAGGAAUAUUGGUCAAUGGGCGCGAGCCUGAACCAGCCAAGUAGCGUGAAGGAUGACUGCCCUACGGGUUGUAAACUUCUUUUAUAAAGGAAUAAAGUGAGGCACGUGUGCCUUUUUGUAUGUACUUUAUGAAUAAGGAUCGGCUAACUCCGUGCCAGCAGCCGCGGUAAUACGGAGGAUCCGAGCGUUAUCCGGAUUUAUUGGGUUUAAAGGGAGCGUAGAUGGGUUGUUAAGUCAGUUGUGAAAGUUUGCGGCUCAACCGUAAAAUUGCAAUUGAUACUGGCAGCCUUGAGUACAGUUGAGGUAGGCGGAAUUCGUGGUGUAGCGGUGAAAUGCUUAGAUAUCACGAAGAACUCCGAUUGCGAAGGCGGCUUGCUGGGUCGAUACUGACAUUGAGGCACGAAAGCGUGGGGAGCAAACAGGAUUAGAUACCCGGGUAGUC
Molecule: ribosomal RNA, 460 nt
Filed under: uncultured bacterium
Lineage: Bacteria
Description: partial 16S ribosomal RNA
Rfam family: Bacterial small subunit ribosomal RNA
Source: RNAcentral